GGGAAUUUACUUUGAAGGCCGA
This 22-nucleotide unclassified non-coding RNA is filed under the name Dictyostelium discoideum. Lineage: Eukaryota; Evosea; Eumycetozoa; Dictyosteliales; Dictyosteliaceae. The record is from RNAcentral.